GAGAGAGAGAGCGUCCAGAAAAUGAAGGCCUUACUCUAAUGCCGAAGGCUGCCUACCCAUUGCCACUCAGAUGAAGUUUUACUUACUCUGUGAUUCGGUUGUGUGAACACAGGAGCAUAAAAAGCUCACUCGAAUGCACAACUCUGUGGAGGUUGCCAUGGAGACUCCAAUUUAGGAGCAACUGUAUUUGAGGAGAAUUUCCAGCCCCGCAGUAUGUGGAAAGGCAGAUACAGGAAUCAAAGCGUGCCUACACAUCUCAAGGCUUCAGACAGGAGUCAGGCAGGACAGCUGGACCAGGAGGGGGCGCACAGGGGAAGCAUGGUUGGAGGGAAAAAGAUCUUGCUACCACAAAUGUUUAAUUAACAUUACAGUCAGUUCUCUAUUAUUUUCCUUUGCUCCAGAACUGUUCCAUGAAAUAAAUGAGUGACUAAAUAAAUGAUAACUCCCUCUGUCCAAAUGACUGUAGUAAUGUCCAAUAUGUACAAUUUCUAACUUUUCUCUGAAAAUGAACCCAAUACAUGUUCUACCUUCUGCAUGACAAUUCACUAAUGUGUAAUUUAAAGGUCUGACUUUGUAAGUAUUUGCUACCUGAUCAUGCCCUAAAAUAUUUACUUGCUUUUCAUUUCAUGCUUGCAGCAAAUGUCUUCCAUAAAGCGUCCAGCCUUUCACCCACAAAAAAUCAUCACAAAAUUUACUGACUAUAA
Molecule: long non-coding RNA, 704 nt
Organism: Numida meleagris (helmeted guineafowl)
Lineage: Eukaryota; Metazoa; Chordata; Aves; Galliformes; Numididae
Exons: 3
Source: RefSeq, a predicted model, not a curated record